Molecule: ribosomal RNA, 493 nt
Filed under: uncultured bacterium
Lineage: Bacteria
Description: partial 16S ribosomal RNA
Rfam family: Bacterial small subunit ribosomal RNA
Source: RNAcentral
AGUGAACGCUGGCGGUAGGCCUAACACAUGCAAGUCGAACGGCAGCACAGUAAGAGCUUGCUCUUACGGGUGGCGAGUGGCGGACGGGUGAGGAAUACAUCGGAAUCUACUUUUUCGUGGGGGGAUAACGUAGGGAAACUUACGCUAAUACCGCAUACGACCUACGGGUGAAAGCAGGGGAUCUUCGGACCUUGCGCGAUUGAAUGAGCCGAUGUCGGAUUAGCUAGUUGGCGGGGUAAAGGCCCACCAAGGCGACGAUCUGUAGCUGGUCUGAGAGGAUGAUCAGCCACACUGGAACUGAGACACGGUCCAGACUCCUACGGGAGGCAGCAGUGGGGAAUAUUGGACAAUGGGCGCAAGCCUGAUCCAGCCAUACCGCGUGGGUGAAGAAGGCCUUCGGGUUGUAAAGCCCUUUUGUUGGGAAAGAAAAGCAGCAGGUUAAUACCCCGCUGUUCUGACGGUACCCAAAGAAUAAGCACCGGCUAACUUCGUG